UACGUAGGGUACAAGCAUUAAUCGGAUUCAUUGGGCGUAAAGGGUGCGUAGGCGGGGAGGAAAGUUAGAUGUGAAAUUCUGGGGCUCAACCCCAGCGCUGCAUCUAAUACUACUUCUCUUGAGGAUAGGAGGGGAAAGGGGAAUUCCACAUGUAGCGGUGAAAUGCGUAGAUAUGUGGAGGAACACCGGUGGUGAAGACGCCUUUCUGGCCUAUUCCUGACGCUGAGGCACGAAAGCAAGGGGAGCAAAC
RNAcentral lists this ribosomal RNA (250 nucleotides) under uncultured bacterium. Its description in RNAcentral is "partial 16S ribosomal RNA". It matches the Rfam family "Bacterial small subunit ribosomal RNA", at positions 524 to 773 of the family's 1533-position model. The record is from RNAcentral.